AGAUUGAACGCUGGCGGCAGGCCUAACACAUGCAAGUCGAGCGGUAGAGAGGUGCUUGCAUCUCUUGAGAGCGGCGGACGGGUGAGUAAUGCCUAGGAAUCUGCCUAGUGGUGGGGGAUAACGUUCGGAAACGGACGCUAAUACCGCAUACGUCCUACGGGAGAAAGCGGGGGACCUUCGGGCCUCGCGCCAUUAGAUGAGCCUAGGUCGGAUUAGCUAGUUGGUGAGGUAAUGGCUCACCAAGGCGACGAUCCGUAACUGGUCUGAGAGGAUGAUCAGUCACACUGGAACUGAGACACGGUCCAGACUCCUACAGGAGGCAGCAGUGGGGAAUAUUGGACAAUGGGACGAAAGCCUGAUCCAGCCAUGCCGCGUGUGUGAAGAAGGUCUUCGGAUUGUAAAGCACUUUAAGUUGGGAAGGUAAGGGUUGUAAACCUAAUACGUUAGCUAACUUUGACGUUACCGAACAGAAAUAAGCACCGGACUAACUUCGUGCCAGCACG
This 503-nucleotide ribosomal RNA is filed under the name uncultured soil bacterium. RNAcentral describes it as "bacterial SSU rRNA". It matches the Rfam family "Bacterial small subunit ribosomal RNA", at positions 26 to 515 of the family's 1533-position model. The record is from RNAcentral.